This 535-nucleotide ribosomal RNA is filed under the name uncultured eukaryote. RNAcentral's name for it is "SSU rRNA". It matches the Rfam family "Eukaryotic small subunit ribosomal RNA", at positions 13 to 552 of the family's 1831-position model. The record is from RNAcentral.
CCUGCCAGUAGUCAUAUGCUUGUCUCAAAGAUUAAGCCAUGCAUGUCUAAGUAUAAGCAAUUAUACAGCGAAACUGCGAAUGGCUCAUUAUAUAAGUUAUCGUUUAUUUGAUAGUGCCUUACUACUUGGAUAACCGUGGUAAUUCUAGAGCUAAUACAUGCUAAAAACCCCGACUUCGGAAGGGGUGUAUUUAUUAGAUACAAAACCAAUGCCCUUCGGGGCUCUUUGGUGAUUCAUGAUAACUAUACGAAUCGCACGGCCUUGCGCCGGCGAUGGUUCAUUCAAAUUUCUUCCCUAUCAACUUUCGAUGUUUGGGUAUUGGCCAAACAUGGUUGCAACGGGUAACGGAGGGUUAGGGCUCGACCCCGGAGAAGGAGCCUGAGAAACGGCUACUACAUCCAAGGAAGGCAGCAGGCGCGCAAAUUACCCAAUCCCGACUCGGGGAGGUAGUGACAAUAAAUACUGAUACAGGGCCCUUUCGGGCCUUGUAAUUGGAAUGAGUACAAUUUAAAUCCCUUAACGAGGAACAAUUGGA